GACCAGACUCCUACGGGAGGCAGCAGUGGGGAAUAUUGCACAAUGGGGGAAACCCUGAUGCAGCGACGCCGCGUGAGUGAUGAAGUAUUUCGGUAUGUAAAGCUCUAUCAGCAGGGAAGAUAAUGACGGUACCUGACUAAGAAGCCCCGGCUAACUACGUGCCAGCAGCCGCGGUAAUACGUAGGGGGCAAGCGUUAUCCGGAUUUACUGGGUGUAAAGGGAGCGUAGGUGGCAGGGCAAGUCAGAUGUGAAAACCCGGGGCUCAACCCCGGGAGUGCAUUUGAAACUGUGCGGCUAGAGUACUGGAGGGGCAGGCGGAAUUCCUAGUGUAGCGGUGAAAUGCGUAGAUAUUAGGAGGAACACCAGUGGCGAAGGCGGCCUGCUGGACAGUAACUGACGUUGAGGCUCGAAAGCGUGGGGAGCAAACAGGAUUAGAUACCCGAGUAGUC
This 449-nucleotide ribosomal RNA is filed under the name uncultured bacterium. Its description in RNAcentral is "bacterial SSU rRNA". It matches the Rfam family "Bacterial small subunit ribosomal RNA", at positions 329 to 795 of the family's 1533-position model. The record is from RNAcentral.